RNAcentral lists this ribosomal RNA (253 nucleotides) under uncultured bacterium. RNAcentral's name for it is "partial 16S ribosomal RNA". It matches the Rfam family "Bacterial small subunit ribosomal RNA", at positions 524 to 776 of the family's 1533-position model. The record is from RNAcentral.
UACGGAGGGGGCUAGCGUUGUUCGGAAUUACUGGGCGUAAGGCGCACGUAGGCGGCUUUGUAAGUUAGAGGUGAAAGCCCGGGGCUCAACUCCGGAAUUGCCUUUAAGACCGCAUCGCUAGAAUUGUGGAGAGGUAAGUGGAAUUCCGAGUGUAGAGGUGAAAUUCGUAGAUAUUCGGAAGAACACCAGUGGCGAAGGCGGCUUACUGGACACAUAUUGACGCUGAGGUGCGAAAGCGUGGGGAGCAAACAGG